CCCAGGAGUUCAGCCCCCAUAAGCUGGAGGGAAAGUCCCAAAAUGCUUAUCUCCCGUUAGUCAUUAUUUAACUGAGUAGAUGGUCUAAAAUAUUCAGUGUUAAGUAACUUCUGUUGUCCUUACAGCAUCAGAGGCUUCUGAAAAACCAAGCGGGUCAUGGCAGCAUGGUUCAUCCUGCAGGUCUGUGGCAGCUGACAAAUUGCUUUCAGAGGACACUGUGUGCACAAAGCUCUCCCCACUCAGGAUCUCUUGGGAAAAAAGUUUUCUGGCUUUGCAGGGACUUUGAAAGGAAUUAAAAUUAAUAGGAGGAAAUACAGGAUUAAUUCUCUGGAUGUGCUGACUCAUGGUCUUAAGGCCCAAGAACAUGUCUUCCUUUGAGAAGGAAGAAGCCCAAAGCCCAUGACUUGCCCUCCUUUCCUGGAGUGAGAUGAGCUGGGAUUCUGCAGCCCUGAAACAGGCCCCCUCCCAGAGCCCAUGUCUGGAAAACAUGGAUAUAGAAUGGAUGUCAGUGCCCUGGGCUGGACCAGCUCGUCUCGUUGCAGCCAGGAUGUCACCUCCCCCAUUCCAAGAGCUGCUUAACUCAGGCAGGCCAGCAGGUUCCCUGAGGGGCAAAUAUACUGUCAGAAGUCCUGGAUCAGGCACUGAAGGUCUCAGAGCAGCAGUGAGAACACACAGACGUGUUGAAAACUGCAAUUUUCAUUGGAAAGCACACAAUUGUAUGCAUGCGGCACUCACAAGUGAAAAAUAUUGACCAAGGAGAAAGAACUAAACAAAGAGAAGCCCAGAGAACUCCCUAACAUAAUGUUAGCAUCUCUUUUACUACAGUCUGGUUUUUGCACAGGAGGGUGGACAUAUAGAGGACACACACAUUGUUAAUCUGUUUUCUUCAGUGUGCCUGAAGGACAGGCACACAGCUUCCUGCACUGCUUAGCUGGAACAAGUGCCAGGAAAAAAGGGAAAUCCCACAUGUGGAAGCCAAGUCUCUAGCCCCAGCCAAUGGUAAAGGAAAAAUCCAGAGGUGAGCAAA
This is a long non-coding RNA of Passer domesticus (house sparrow), 1027 nucleotides long. RefSeq lists it as uncharacterized. The record is from RefSeq and is a predicted model, not a curated record. The transcript has 3 exons. NCBI's taxonomy places the organism in Eukaryota, Metazoa, Chordata, Aves, Passeriformes, Passeridae.